This 100-nucleotide small nucleolar RNA is filed under the name Nannospalax galili (Upper Galilee mountains blind mole rat). RNAcentral's name for it is "Small nucleolar RNA SNORA5 (ENSNGAG00000002811.1)". It matches the Rfam family "Small nucleolar RNA SNORA5", at positions 37 to 134 of the family's 134-position model. Rfam says of the family: ACA5 is a member of the H/ACA class of snoRNA that guide the sites of modification of uridines to pseudouridines. The record is from Rfam by way of RNAcentral. Lineage: Eukaryota; Metazoa; Chordata; Mammalia; Rodentia; Spalacidae.
GGCAGGCACUAGAGCAAAAGGCUACUGCCAUAGACACACUGUGACUCAUAAGUCCUGUACCCCUUCCUGGGCUCAGGGAUAAAUUUGGUCACAGAUAUAA